GAGGCAUAGCUCAGCCGGUUAGAGCGCACGCUUCACAUGCGUGAGGUCGCGGGUUCGAUUCCCUCUGUCUCC
Molecule: transfer RNA, 72 nt
Filed under: Candidatus Geddesella stercoravicola
Lineage: Bacteria; Bacillati; Bacillota; Clostridia
Also listed under: 1 other name
Rfam family: tRNA
About the family: Transfer RNA (tRNA) molecules are approximately 80 nucleotides in length. Their secondary structure includes four short double-helical elements and three loops (D, anti-codon, and T loops).
Source: RNAcentral